AUACGGAGGGUGCAAGCGUUAUUCGGAAUCAUUGGGCGUAAAGGACGCGUAGGCGGGUUGGCAAGUCAGAUGUGAAAUCCUACAGCUUAACUGUAGAACUGCAUUUGAAACUGCUAACCUAGAGUAUGGGAGGGGGAGAUGGAAUUAGUGGUGUAGGGGUAAAAUCCGUAGAUAUCACUAGGAAUACCGAAAGCGAAGGCGAUCUCCUGGAACAUAACUGACGCUAAGGCGUGAAAGCGUGGGGAGCAAACAGGAUUAGAUACCCUAGUAGUCC
This 274-nucleotide ribosomal RNA is filed under the name uncultured bacterium. Its description in RNAcentral is "partial 16S ribosomal RNA". It matches the Rfam family "Bacterial small subunit ribosomal RNA", at positions 523 to 796 of the family's 1533-position model. The record is from RNAcentral.